This 404-nucleotide ribosomal RNA is filed under the name uncultured bacterium. Its description in RNAcentral is "bacterial SSU rRNA". It matches the Rfam family "Bacterial small subunit ribosomal RNA", at positions 356 to 773 of the family's 1533-position model. The record is from RNAcentral.
GGGGAAUAUUGCACAAUGGAGGAAACUCUGAUGCAGCAACGCCGCGUGAAGGAAGAAGGUUUUCGGAUCGUAAACUUCUAUCGAUAGGGAAGAAAGAAAUGACGGUACCUAAAUAAGAAGCCCCAGCUAACUACGUGCCAGCAGCCGCGGUAAUACGUAGGGGGCAAGCGUUAUCCGGAAUUACUGGGUGUAAAGGGAGCGUAGGCGGCAUGGUAAGUUAGAUGUGAAAGCCCGGGGCUUAACCCCGAGGAUUGCAUUUAAAACUAUCAAGCUAGAGUACAGGAGAGGAAAGCGGAAUUCCUAGUGUAGCGGUGAAAUGCGUAGAUAUUAGGAAGAACACCAGUGGCGAAGGCGGCUUUCUGGACUGAAACUGACGCUGAGGCUCGAAAGCGUGGGGAGCGAAC